UACACUGCGGCGACGGACGCUCGGUGAAACAGAGGGGUGGAGGCGUACUCGGAUGUACGGUGCGGAAAUCGCGCGUGUGUGGUUAAUUAAGUCAAAUGUGAAAGCCCCGAGCUUAACGUGGGAAUUGCAUUCGAUACUGGGUAGCUAGAGUAUGGGAGAGGAUGGUAGAAUUCCAUGUGUAGCGGUGAAAUGCGUAGAGAUCUGGAGGAAUACCGAUGGCGAAGGCAGCCAUCUGGCCUAAGACUGACACUGAGGUGCGAAAGCAUGGGGAGCAAACAGGAUUAGAUACCCCAGUAGUC
Molecule: ribosomal RNA, 299 nt
Filed under: uncultured Sulfurovum sp.
Lineage: Bacteria; Pseudomonadati; Campylobacterota; Epsilonproteobacteria; Campylobacterales; Sulfurovaceae
Description: partial 16S ribosomal RNA
Rfam family: Bacterial small subunit ribosomal RNA
Source: RNAcentral